UCAAUUUUUAUUACUAUGUAUUUAAAAUUCAAAAGAUCUUAGAAUAUGGUUGAUUGUACUCUGUCUUUGAUGACAUAACCUGUCAAUUUGAAAUACAUGUCCGUUAGGCCUUUUUUGUUCGCACACACACCCAGACUUUUACCUUAUUCUGGGCUCUUUGUUUCUAUAAAUCUUAUAAAAUUUUGGAUGACAGAAAACCAUAAAUUGGAGGCCUGUAUGAAAGUGUUAUGCUUGCGAGCCUUUGAGCCAGACAAGACAGUUCAAGCAUUGAGCUUGUUUUCGAAACAAGCUAUAUUAGGCCCAAGCUUCAGCUUCAUUAACUUCAUAACCAGGCCCAAUCCAAGCAUAACAGUUCCUGAGAUAGAGAUGGGACCUCUCUGAUAAGAUUCUUACACCCAGAUCUUGGAAACAUUUACAAGGUUCGUCAUUAGCCUUAAUUUUCUGUUGGUGUUGAAGUGCAAGUUAUUAGAAAUACUUGAUUGUAGUAACUUGUGAAUUGCCGCUGCCUCUCCUGCUCUGAAUCUGCACCUUGUGUUGAAGUUUGGAAAUCUGUGUAUUUAAUACAUGAAAGUCCUGUCUGAAAUUGCACUUCAAAUUAUCAAAAAAGAAAAAGAAAAAAAGAAAAGAGCAGGCACUUCGGAUUGUAGGAUUGCCAAUAGGGCCAGAAGGCUCUGCAGUAAAAAGGAUAAAGGGAAGCCUUUGAUAGGCAACAAUAAUCUAUGAAGGGGAAGCUAAAUCAAGGCCUUGUGGAAUGUAUGAGCUGACAAGGUAUUCUGUUAUGUCAGAUUGUACAUGAAAGAAUAAAAUAUAAGCAGGGCUAGGUUUUGUUUGCAAAGAUCGAGCAAGACAAAAGAAUCUUAGCUAGCUACCAAGGUGGCGAUCAUCUGCUUGGCUGUGAAAGAAGCUCUGGAGGCAACAAAAAACAAAGGAUUUACAAGGUUAUUACUCUUCUAGCUAAUGUUGAAGCAGUGGCCUUAUGGUAGAAUACAAGGCUUCCUAGAUAGCAAAAUGCAAGCAGUCGUGAAGGAUGUAUGAAACAUAGGCUGUCAAAUGGAAGGAAUAUGGCUAAGAACAUAGAAUGUUCAAAAACUACAAGAUACUUUGGGGCAUGUUUUGGGAGUGGCUAUCCGUGAUGGCGGGUGUCAUUGUAUUGGGGCUAUGUGUGCAAGAAUAGAAGCAGGCAAUGAUUGGGUUGAAGAACAUGCUCUAGGAUUAUGCAGUGCAGUGGAGCUGGGGCAUUUUCAUUUCUUAGUUGGGAUUUUUGUGUACUACUACCACUAUCAUUUUUUGUUUUUUGUUUACUGUUUUUGUGCUGUUGACUGUGAAUAUUAUUAUUAUUAUUAUUGAA
Molecule: long non-coding RNA, 1348 nt
Organism: Quercus lobata
Lineage: Eukaryota; Viridiplantae; Streptophyta; Magnoliopsida; Fagales; Fagaceae
Exons: 5
Source: RefSeq, a predicted model, not a curated record